GACGAAGGAUGCAAGCGUUAUCCGGAUUCAUUGGGUUUAAAGGGAGCGUAGGUGGCCUUAUAAGUCAGUGGUGAAAUCUUCGAGCUUAACUCGGAAAUUGCCAUUGAUACUGUAGGGCUUGAGUAUAGUUGCCGUUGGCGGAAUAUGACAUGUAGUGGUGAAAUACAUAGAGAUGUCAUAGAACACCGAUUGCGAAGGCAGCUAACGAAACUAUAACUGACACUGAGGCUCGAAAGUGCGGGGAUCAAACAGG
This 253-nucleotide ribosomal RNA is filed under the name uncultured bacterium. Its description in RNAcentral is "partial 16S ribosomal RNA". It matches the Rfam family "Bacterial small subunit ribosomal RNA", at positions 524 to 776 of the family's 1533-position model. The record is from RNAcentral.